Molecule: long non-coding RNA, 750 nt
Filed under: Mytilus galloprovincialis (Mediterranean mussel)
Lineage: Eukaryota; Metazoa; Mollusca; Bivalvia; Mytilida; Mytilidae
Source: RNAcentral
AAAACUCAGAUCAACAUAAAUUUGGGUAGCAUCACUUUUACUUUUUUUCAGUUAUGUCCCUUUAUAACUUUAUAUGAGAAUCAUCUGUGUCCCAUAGACAAAUUUGUUUUAGUAAUGCCUCCAGAUCUAUUACUUAUUUUUAGUACAUUCCAAUAUGAUCAUAAGUAACCAAGGUAGUUCUAUACAAGCAAAAUUAUAUACCAAAUAGUAAUUUAUCAGCAGAUAAAGUUGACUUUUUUUCUUCAUUUUUCAGUUGUUUGAAAAAGAGACGAGGAAGAAAAUAAAGAUAGCACCAGUGACAUUUAUUCCUCCAAAAGGAUUGUUAAUAACAAAUGAUGAUAAAAUUGGAUUAUGCUGGACAAUGGACUGAAUCAAUAAACAUACACAACAAAAAUAUUCUUUUAAUUUAAUAAAAGUUGUUUAGCUAAACCAUGCCACAAACCUACCAGCUGAUUGAAAUUGUGACUCCCUCACUGACUGAAUAAAUUUUCAUUGAAUAGCGACCAAUCUUUUGAUAGAAAUUCAGAAAAUAAAUUCUGUUGUCCUAGAGUACUUUCUCCUCAAAUCUUAAGUUUAAGUUAUCUUUGAAUAGUACAACAGGAUGACAAAUAAUAAUGGGAAGUAUUGAUUUCAUGGUAGUGGACUGAUAUCAACUGAGGGAGGACAGGCCUUUUUUCACACAUGGGCUCAAAUAACGACUUAAUAAUUGGAAUUUUCUGUGUAUCCAUAAAAAAACACAGAAUUGAGGCA